This is a long non-coding RNA of Triticum aestivum (bread wheat), 1263 nucleotides long. RefSeq lists it as uncharacterized. The record is from RefSeq and is a predicted model, not a curated record. NCBI's taxonomy places the organism in Eukaryota, Viridiplantae, Streptophyta, Magnoliopsida, Poales, Poaceae. The transcript has 6 exons.
CUGUGAGCGCAUUAGCUCCAUUUAGUGAGCACAUUUGCUGGGAGUAGAAAUCAGAGUUAACUGACGAAUCUUCAGUAAGUGGCUGUUGUCAAAGAUUUCAGCAUUUAUAAAUGUGCAUAUAAAUGUUCAGUACAUGGCUGAUUUCAAAGAUUUUAUACUCCAUUUGGUGAGCACAUUUGUUAACAUUAAAUUAGUGUUAACUGAAUUACUGUCAAAGAAAUUAUUUGUUGUUGUCAUAUUAGUGUUAGCAGUAUUGAGAGGAUCACUGAAUUUGGCAGUAAUCAAUUUGGCAGUACAAAUUGUCAGGCUCACUGGAGUAUAGAGUGAUGGGUUGAUUUACAAAUACUGAAGAUAACAUAGAGAUUUGGAGUUUAGAUAGAAUAAGCUUGACAACAACUACUGCAUAUUUAGGGUCCAAAAUAUGAAUAACUUAGAGUUUGGCAGAUAAUAACAGAAGUUUUAAUUUGAUUGUCUUCAACUGAUCCAUUUAACAGAAGUUUAACUUUUCUAAACCUUUUCCUUUUAAAUGUUCGCUUUCAUUUUCAGCGGACUGACCAGAUUCAUGGUACAGUUGAACUGAAAGGAGAAGGGCAUUUUCAUCAAAGGAACAUUUAUUAGCCCCUAGCUAGCACUCCUAAAGGCAAAUCAACUAAUGCUUCCCCAAACUCUGUGAACAAAAGUGGCAAUAAGAGGGGACUGACAAAACAUGAGGUGGCCGGUACUCAGCUGCGCAAGCCCUUAUUUCCAAACGAUAGCGCCCAGGAAAGUGGGCCUCUGGAGGAUAACAUCCAUGCUUUGAGCGAGGAAGUUGCUUCUAAGCUAAGGAAAGCAAAUGAAAAAGUGGCAGGGAAAGCUGAUGUGCCCCCUGACAGCAAAAUAGCCAAGCUCUAGACCAAGUGCCUUUAGGCCACAUACCCUUUUGAAUCAUGUCAUGUCCAGUGCAGUGUUCAAGAGAACACUGACUUGAUGGAUUGGUGCUUCGGCGCAUGUUGGAUUGAAAGACCGCUUCUAUCUACCAUCGCUUUUCUUAUGCCCUGUCACUUAUAAUGCAGUGUUCUAUUUUGCCGUCCAUGGCUGACCUUACCUUAUUAUCUAUGAACAAGCAUUCUCUAUAGUUAGAGAUUGGUUUGUAAUGGAUCUGUGCUUAAGAAUUCCAUUCGUUUAGCCGUGUGUUGCUUAUGAAUGUACCGCCGUAUUUCACAGGUAGACCUAAGGAUAUUAUGAAAAUGAUCAUGUUGCUUGUCCCUUGCGUGUGUGAUGCAU